CAAGAGAAAGAAAUAAGGGGCAUCCAAAUCAGUAAAGAGGAAGUCAGACUGUCACUGUUUUCCAGAAUCUACAAUGAACUCAAACAAAUCAGUAAGAAAACACAAUCGCAUCAAAAAGUGGGCUAAGGACAUGAAUAGACAAUUCUCAAAAUAAGGACAAACAAAUGGCCCAACAAACAAGAAAAAAUGCUCCCCAGCACUUUGGGAGGCCAAGGUGGGCGGAUCAUGAGGUCAGGAGAUCGAGACCAUCCUGGCUAACAUGGUGAAACCCCGUCUCUACUAAAAAUGCAAAAAAAUUAGCUGGGCGUCGUGGUGGGCACCUGUAGUUCCAGCUACUCGGGAGGCUGAGGCAGGAGAAUGGCGUGAACCUGGGAGGCGGAGCUUGCAGUGAGCGGAGAUCGCGCCACUGCACUCCAGCCUGGGCAACAGAGCAGCAGAUCAAGACCCCGUCUCAAAAAAAAUAAAAAAAAAAUAAAAAAUAAAUGCUCAAUAUCACUAAUGAUCAGGGAAAUGCAAAUCAAAACCGCAAUGUGAUACCACCUUACUCCUGCAAGAAUGGCCAUAAUAAAAAAAUCAAAAAACAGUAGAUGUUGGCGUGGGUGCAGUGAUCAGGGAACACUUCUACACUGCUAGUGGGGAUGUAAACUAGUACAUCCCCACCUACAUGUGGAAAACAGUGUGGAGAUUCCUUAAAGAACUAAAAGUAGAACUACCAUUUGAUCCAGCAAUCCCACUACUGGGUAUCUACCCAGUGGAAACGGAGUCAUUAUACGACAAAGAUACUUGCACAGGCAGGUUUAUAGCAGCACAAUUCACAAUUGCAAAAUCGUGGAACCAAUGCAAAUGCCCAUCAAUCAAUGAGUGAAUAAAGAAAUUGUGGUGUAUAUAUUUGAUGUAAUACUACUCAGCCAUAA
RNAcentral lists this long non-coding RNA (914 nucleotides) under Homo sapiens (human). Its description in RNAcentral is "non-protein coding lnc-SLC22A15-3:1". Lineage: Eukaryota; Metazoa; Chordata; Mammalia; Primates; Hominidae. The record is from RNAcentral.